ACGGGUGAGUAACACGUAGACAAUCUACCUUCUAGAGGGGGAUAGCCCGCCGAAAGGCGGGGUAAUACCGCGUAAGAUCAAGACCCGGCAUCGGGAUUUGAUGAAACGUCCGCAAGGACGGCUAGAAGAGGAGUCUGCGGCCUAUCAGCUAGUUGGCGGGGUAAUGGCCCACCAAGGCAACGACGGGUAUCCGACCUGAAAGGGUGACCGGACACACUGACACUGAGACACGGGUCAG
Molecule: ribosomal RNA, 238 nt
Filed under: uncultured bacterium
Lineage: Bacteria
Description: partial 16S ribosomal RNA
Rfam family: Bacterial small subunit ribosomal RNA
Source: RNAcentral